Molecule: transfer RNA, 77 nt
Filed under: Marmota monax (woodchuck)
Lineage: Eukaryota; Metazoa; Chordata; Mammalia; Rodentia; Sciuridae
Description: tRNA.Ala
Source: RNAcentral
GGGGAUGUGGCUCAGUGGUAGACCACUUGCCUAGCAUGUAUGAGGCACAGGCACUGCGUUCAAUUCUCAGCACUGCA